Molecule: ribosomal RNA, 468 nt
Filed under: uncultured bacterium
Lineage: Bacteria
Description: partial 16S ribosomal RNA
Rfam family: Bacterial small subunit ribosomal RNA
Source: RNAcentral
GACGAACGCUGGCGGCGUGCUUAACACAUGCAAGUCGAACGGAAAGGCCCUGCUUUUGUGGGGUGCUCGAGUGGCGAACGGGUGAGUAACACGUGAGUAACCUGCCCUUGACUUUGGGAUAACUUCAGGAAACUGGGGCUAAUACCGGAUAGGAGCUCCUGCUGCCUGGUGGGGGUUGGAAAGUUUCGGCGGUUGGGGAUGGACUCGCGGCUUAUCAGCUUGUUGGUGGGGUAGUGGCUUACCAAGGCUUUGACGGGUAGCCGGCCUGAGAGGGUGACCGGCAACAUUGGGACUGAGAUACGGCCCAGACUCCUACGGGAGGCAGCAGUGGGGAAUAUUGCACAAUGGGCGGAAGCCUGAUGCAGCAACGCCGCGUGCGGGAUGACGGCCUUCGGGUUGUAAACCGCUUUCGCCUGUGACGAAGCGUGAGUGACGGUAAUGGGUAAAGAAGCACCGGCUAACUACGUG